CGGGGCGUGGGUCACGGUGUGCAGGACCUCGCCGAUGACGAUGGUGUGAUCACCGGCCGGUACGAGCCGGUCGACCCGGC
Molecule: transfer RNA, 80 nt
Filed under: Streptomyces finlayi
Lineage: Bacteria; Bacillati; Actinomycetota; Actinomycetes; Kitasatosporales; Streptomycetaceae
Also listed under: 1 other name
Description: tRNA-Val
Source: RNAcentral